UGGGGACUUUUGCACAAUGGGGGAAACCCUGAUGCAGCGACGCCGCGUGAUUUAGAAGGCCUUCGGGUUGUAAAAAUCUUUUCUAUGGGAAGAAAAUGACAGUACCAUAGGAAUAAGGACCGGCUAAUUACGUGCCAGCAGCCGCGGUAAUACGUAAGGUCCGAGCGUUGUCCGGAAUCAUUGGGCGUAAAGGGUACGUAGGCGGGUAAGCAAGUUAGAAGUGAAAUCCUAUAGCUCAACUAUAGUAAGCUUUUAAAACUGCUCAUCUUGAGGUAUGGAAGGGAAAGUGGAAUUCCUAGUGUAGCGGUGAAAUGCGCAGAUAUUAGGAGGAAUACCGGUGGCGAAGGCGACUUUCUGGCCAUAACCUGACGCUGAGGUACGAAAGCGUGGGUAGCAAACAGG
This 402-nucleotide ribosomal RNA is filed under the name bacterium. RNAcentral describes it as "partial 16S ribosomal RNA". It matches the Rfam family "Bacterial small subunit ribosomal RNA", at positions 355 to 776 of the family's 1533-position model. The record is from RNAcentral.